Molecule: long non-coding RNA, 2161 nt
Organism: Homo sapiens (human)
Lineage: Eukaryota; Metazoa; Chordata; Mammalia; Primates; Hominidae
Exons: 3
Source: RefSeq, a predicted model, not a curated record
AACACACAUGUUGUUGAUGGGCGGACUUUCUCUAUCAGGGAGGCUCAGCUGGAGCAACAGAGCAGCAUUUCUGGAGGAGGGCAUAUCAGUUUUGACACCUGUUUUCAGAAUCAUCCACAGAAGCACAAAGAUCAAAUGCAGAAGGAACUGCACGUGGAAAGGCCAGCCACAUACAUCACAAAAAGAGGACUGAAGUCAGCACACAGCUUGAAAGCCGGACUACAGGCCUUUCUUCAAGAAUGGCUGGAGUGACCCUGGGGACUUGCUGCAAGAAGCAAGAGGAUUGGGCAAAGGUCAAGAGGCCAUUUGUCAAACAGCACAAGACAUGUAACAGGAUAUGCACAGUGAGACAUGGCGGGGGAGAGCCCCCACGGAGCCCAGGGGAUGUAUGACAUCAUAGUCACAGUCCUACAUCUUCCUCUGUUUCCCCAGCUACCCUGGCUAUCUCUGCAGACAGGAAGAGAGCUGCCAAGUAGGGCUGGAAAGAGACACUCGGCAGGUAGAUCUUGCCGUAACAAGGAGAAGAAACUCAUGGAUUUCACCUAAGACCAGAGAAGGGAACAUUCCCAAGAGACUUGGAGGUUCCAUCUCUCAAGCAACCUGAAAUUAGCAGGGAUUUCUCCUGCGGCUUUGCCAUGAUGUGGGGAAAAGGGAAGUGGUUUUGACGCAAGGGACAGAGGGAGUGUUGGCGGUGGCAGGGGGAGCAGGGGCAGCAGCUCACUUACGGGUUAAAACCACCCUGGAGAGGCCCAGCUCUCUGAAGUUCGACAUCAGAAUAUACAUUCGAGUAAGGGUGGUCAGUUAUUCAAUUUUUUGAGACUCACUUUCCUUGUCUUUAUACAUGAGGUUUAACAAAAUUGUCAAGAAGGUGACAGAAAACAGCAGAGGAAAAAGCUGCAGUAUAGUGGAUACUCCAUAAAUAUUGGUUCCCUUGGCUAUAUUCGUCCCCUCUUUUUCCCAAGUGUAGAGCAACAUGGAUUAAAAUUUAUUUUGUAUUUCUAGAUCUCCAGCAAAUGUAUUUAGAACUGUUCUAUUAAAUUUUCCUGGAAAAUAAAGCAUCCCUUGCAUUGAGGCUAUCUAGGUAAUCUAUUUAACAGCAUCUAAGUCUAGAAAUUCAGAAACGUCUAUAUGUGCGCCUCUCUCUGUAAUGUCCUGAUUCUUUUUUUUUUUCUCAUCCACUUGCCCAUCAGUGGUUCAGAUAUUCUCUCUAUAUUUGUGUUUGCAAAGUUCUAUUCCUGAAUGGAAUUUUCUCCCAGGAAUUCCCGACCGAGGCCAUCUGCUCUGCAGGCAGAAAGUGAAGCGACCGCAGCCUGAUGCAGCCAGGAAGGCAGAGGCUGAGAGGAGGGAGUGUGGCAUCAGAACAGAGUCCGCCGGGGCUCUGGCUUCCUCCUCCGGGAUCAAGGGAAAUGUGCGAAGCACAGUGCAGAAUCCCGGGCGGCUCAUGCCCACUCACUUGCUGGGGGAACAGAUAAAACACGAGUGAGGGGGAGAUUUUGUGGGCUGACACUCCCCAGAAAUGCUGUGUGCACAUGGGCGUGGUGAUUGAUACUUAGCGCUUUGAAGCAAACACCGUGAGACUACUCAGCAUUGGGAGAAGCUGUCCACGCGGACGCCCAGGAAGCAGCCCGGAGGAUAGGGUGCCCCAGCAGUACUGCAGAAUCCCAACUACUGACGAGAAUGAGUAAAAGAAUGCACAGAUUGGACAUGUAAAUAAACAGGUUAAAUACCCUGGCAGCUCUUGAAAACAAACCCCUUUUUCUGAAUCUGCUCAGAAACCUCCGUUCUCAUGGUCACUCGGCAACAUGCUGCGGAGAAGAAGACUCGGCCUCGGAACAGCCAUGCCCGGGUUCGAUCCCAGUCCUAGCUUGUGGCAGCCGGGUGACUGGGCAUGAUUCCUGGGCUUCAGUCCUAAUCUGUAAAACGUAGGGGCUGAAGGAGGAAGCGGGAUGGAGUGGAGACCAUUAGAAUUAAUGUAUGAGGCCAGGCGCAGUGGCUCACACCUGUAAUCCCAGCACUUUGGGAGGCCAAGACAGGCAGAUCAGGAGGUCAGGAGAUCGAGACCAUCCUGGCUAACAUGGUGAAACCCCAUCUCUACUAAAAAUACAAAAAAUUAUCCAGGCGUGGUGGCACGUGCCUGUAGUCCCAGCUACUCGGGAGGCUG